RNAcentral lists this ribosomal RNA (192 nucleotides) under uncultured bacterium. RNAcentral describes it as "partial 16S ribosomal RNA". It matches the Rfam family "Bacterial small subunit ribosomal RNA", at positions 1308 to 1500 of the family's 1533-position model. The record is from RNAcentral.
CAACUCGCCUGCACGAAGUUGGAUUGCUAGUAAUCGUGGAUCAGCAUGCCACGGUGAAUACGUUCCCGGGUCUUGUACACACCGCCCGUCACACCAUGGGAGCCGGUAAUACCCGAAGUCAGUAGUCUAACCGCAAGGAGGACGCUGCCGAAGGUAGGAUUGGCGACUGGGGUGAAGUCGUAACAAGGUAAC